CCCUCCGCCCCCCUCAUUCCUUCGCUUCUCUCACCUGCUUGUUUGUUCGUCUCUCCCUCCCUCCCUCCCUCCGACUCGCACCGCACCCAGGCCCCAGCCCACGCGGGGUUCGGAUUCCCUCCGCCGCCACCCGCGAGAGGGAGACGCCGGCGCCGGCGAUCGGUGACCGAUGGCGGCGGCGGCGGUGCGGGUAGACAAGGCCACGAGCGAGCUGCUGCUCGGCCCCGACUGGACCCUCAACAUCGACAUCUGCGACGCCGUCAACUCCGAUCACGGGCAAGCAAAAGAGGUGAUUAAAGCUUUGAAGAAGCGUCUCCAGCACAAAAAUUCAAAGGUUCAGUUUUUUGCUUUGACGCUAUUGGAAACUCUAAUGAAGAAUUGUGGGGAUCAUGUGCAUUCACAAGUUGUAGAGCGUGAUAUACUGCAGGAGAUGAUCAAAAUUGUUAAGAAGAAGACUGAUAUGCAGUUGAGGGACAAAAUUCUAGUACUCCUUGAAUCUUGGCAAGAAGCAUUUGGUGGGAAUGGUGGGAAGCAUCCCCAGUACUACUGGGCAUAUGCUGAAAUGAAGAAAUUGGGCUUGGAAUUUCCUCGGCGAUCACCUGAUGCUGCACCAAUACUUACUCCUCCAAUCACACGCCCAACAUCUUUGGAAUCUUAUCAUCAACCAAGUUACGGAAUGCCAGUUAAUUCUUCCUCUAGAUUUGAUGAGGCAAUGCCAUCUAACGGGCCUUCCCUGAGUUCAUCGGAGAUGGAACGCAUGUUAGGUGCUGUUGAACUAUUAAGCGAGAUGCUGAAAGCAGUGAAUCCACAUGAUCGUGGGGCUGUCAACGAUGAAAUUAUCACAGAGCUUGUGAAACAAUGCCGGUCAGACCAGAAAAAGAUAAUAAGUUUGGUAACUUCAUUAAGAGAUGAGGAGCUCUUGGGCCAAGCUCUUGACUUGAAUGAUAGGAUGCAGAUUCUGCUUGGCAAACAUGAUGCAAUUGCAUCAGGUUCUCCUCUACCAGAUGAAGAAACAGAUAUCAUGAAUGAAUCAUCAGCAGAAACAACUUCAACUCCAGUGGCAACAGGGGCUCCUCGAGCUGCAGUUGCUGCUAUAGUACCAACUAAUGUUUUCGAUGAAGAGGAGGAAGAUGAAGAUGACGAGUUCUCUCAGCUCGCUCGCAGGUCUACAAAUGCUGAGAGCACCCCUUCUGGCGUAGCAACAUCUUUGUCGACCGCCCAUGACGAUGAGAUAACAAGUUCAGGAUCUUCUGGUACCUCUACAGUUUCACCACCUGUUCAAAGCCAUGCAUUGGCACUGCCUGAUCCUCCAGCUCCUGUUAGAACUGCAGAAGAGCAAGUUAUGAGUGACCUUCUUGCACUCACCAUAUCAAACCCUUCACCACCUCAAACUCCACCAACACCUGAAGCUACCACCACCAUGAACCAAGGUGGCUCGCAAGCCAAUGAUCAUCCACAACCUAGUUACUCAAACCAAGGACUUGCUGCUGCAUCAUACAACAGCUAUGUUGCUCCUUGGGCUCAGCCUCAAUGUCAAACUCCAGGCAUUCAGCUUCAGCAGCAUCAACAACCAUCCCAGUCACAAUUGCCCUACAACUCAUCUCCCUACCCGCCACCGCCAUGGGCAUCGGAGGACACCGCCGAGUCCAACCCUUUCAUUGCAGCUUCACUGAAGAACCAACCUACUUCCGCCUCGCCGGUUAAUGUACCACUGAAUUUGAGGCCUCUACAGCAAUCAAAUUCUUUCGGGGUUCCGCUUCGAAGUGCCGGGCCACAAUCGCCGAUAAACGGGAGCACUAAGCAACCGAUGUCUGCAGGAGCUCGCAGGCCAUCUUAUGUUUCUUCUAACAAAUACUUCGAUGAUCUGUUUGAGAAAAAUGCUGAUGGCAGCCUGAUGAAGGUGGGCGGUAGCGUUGGUGGGGGCGCAUCCUCGCCAUACAAGACAUAAUUCUGAGAUUUCUGACACAGGAAUAUUAAACUGUUGGGAGUAGUCUAUCUGCGAACAUUACUUUGCUUGUCUUGAGCUCUGAUUUGUGGUCAGAUUAUCUGUGAAGAUUUCUCUCGCCAUGCCAGAUUGAUUUGGUUGGUGCUUCUGAAAGGCAUGCUGGCCAGUUGAUAAAUAAUUUAUGCCAAAAAACAAGAUAUAUAAUGCAUCAGUCUCUGUCAUGGAGAUUUCUUGAAUGAAGAAUCGCUGACCAGCAGAAGGUUCACACAAUUCUGAACCGAGUCAGGCCAUAGCCACAACAACUCUGCCCUUCCCAACAUCUUCAGCAAAAUUCGGAGAUGGUAACCGUUGGAGCAGCAUGAUUCAGCCAGGCAUGCAGAUGAAGAUCAUAGGCAAAUUAGCUUGCACAAUUCUCCUCAACGAAGAAGAUGGAAAUACACUACCGAUAAUACAUUGAUCACACAACCUCUGUGAUAGUAUGAUCUUGAUCAUGUCAGCAGUUUAUUUUGUAAUGUACAGAGCUCUGAAGAUGUUCAUGGUCA
Molecule: non-coding RNA, 2487 nt
Organism: Oryza sativa Japonica Group (Japanese rice)
Lineage: Eukaryota; Viridiplantae; Streptophyta; Magnoliopsida; Poales; Poaceae
Source: RefSeq, a predicted model, not a curated record